GUAGGGAAUCUUCCACAAUGGGCGCAAGCCUGAUGGAGCAACACCGCGUGAGUGAAGAAGGGUUUCGGCUCGUAAAGCUCUGUUGUUAAAGAAGAACACGUAUGAGAGUAACUGUUCAUACGUUGACGGUAUUUAACCAGAAAGUCACGGCUAACUACGCGCCAG
Molecule: ribosomal RNA, 165 nt
Filed under: uncultured bacterium
Lineage: Bacteria
Description: partial 16S ribosomal RNA
Rfam family: Bacterial small subunit ribosomal RNA
Source: RNAcentral